This is a long non-coding RNA of Onthophagus taurus, 1483 nucleotides long. RefSeq lists it as uncharacterized. The record is from RefSeq and is a predicted model, not a curated record. NCBI's taxonomy places the organism in Eukaryota, Metazoa, Arthropoda, Insecta, Coleoptera, Scarabaeidae.
CUAUUCAAUCUAAAGCCAUUUUCGCAAAAUAUAUAACAUUGGCUUUCUCCAACAGCCACACAAUAAGCAAGGUUCUGUCCAUUACCAUAAUAAACAAGAUUCCUUGCAGAGCAACGGAGUUUAAUCUGUUGAAUGUCACAAUUGCAAUGUUCAAACAAUAAUCAAAGAACACAAAAUUGAUAAUAAGUCUAACAUGUAUAAACACAACAUCGAAACAGGAAAUAAAAUCAAUUACGAUAACGUAAAACUCAUCCAUAAACAACCCAAAGGCUAUAAAUUGGAUCUUCUUGAAAUGUUAGAAAUAAAAAGAUACGAUAGCUCGCCCGAAUGUGAAAAUCUAAAUGAUAAAACUUCAUGUUAUUAUAAACCCUUGUUCAACUAUUUAAAUAAGACCUCAAACUCUAAAACCUGAUUUUGUUAAAAAUGGUUCCCCUCCCUUUCUCAUUCACUUUCCAUCCGGUUUUAUUAUUUUAGGGUUGUAAGACCGUUAAGACUCGUGUUGUUUUAUUAUUCGCAUAACGUUGAAAAUUUCCAGUGAUUGAUUUUUAUUUUUCUGUUCAUUUUGUGCUGUAAUAGCAAUGUUCGUUUUUAUUUGUGAUGUUUUUAUAUUACCCUUAUAUUGACAAAACGUGUGGAGGAAUACUGUCCAACGAAUGCAUUGCCGUCCGGACAACGACGAAUGUUCUAUUUGCCAGGAACAGAUAGUUUGCGGCGGCAAUAGUUGGAGAUAUUGGGGCGAUACGAUCUUUUAGAUCAUUCAUUCCACCAAGUUUUGACAAAAAGAGUCGUACAACGCUUCGAGAAGUGGGCGCCAGUAGGAAGAGAAAUCUUACUGAUAAGGAGCAGAAGCUGUUCACGAGGUUGAAGAAGGCAUGAGUAUUUUGCGGUAUCGUAGCAAACAUAUUCGAAGCUUACAUGUUCCCACGUAAACCCCACUAACCAUCAGAAGAUGAAAGUAAAGCUUGCAGCGCAAGUUUUUAGUAACUCCGUCCUUAAUAUUCUGUCGAAAGCAGGCGUUAUGGAUGCUACGGGAACAGUGAUAUUUGUUAAGUUCAUGAACGACCUCUUUGAUUCUCUUAAUUCUGUAUUUACCUCUGCGAAACCUUUAGUAUGCAAACUAACUAACAACUCAACAUAUUACAUUUUGGGAUGGUGCGAGGAGGAAGUUAAGUCAACUUAAAUUUUUGUCCAAUGGUAAGAGUGUGGAAACCUACGAUCAAAUUACUGUUAGCAACAAUUGGUAAUGUACGGUAAUUCGCAAAUCUUUAAGGCAUAAAGGUUUUAAGUAUCUUACUUUGAGAUCUUUAAAUCAAGAUCCUUUAGAGAAUCUUUUUAGUGUUGCUAAAGGAUUAUGUGAUGGUAAUAGCCUUCAGCGUCACAGUUCGGGGGAGCUAAGGGGGAACAUUAAGACAAAUACACCUUUUUAAAUUACUCAUUAUAUAUUUUUUUUCCUGUUAGUUUAUUGUAAUGUAAACAUUUAUAA